UACAGAGGUCCCAAGCGUUGUUCGGAUUCACUGGGCGUAAAGGGUGCGUAGGCGGUUGGGUAAGUUUGACGUGAAAUCUCCGGGCCUAACCCGGAAACUGCGUUGAAUACUAUCCGGCUAGAGGAAUGGAGGGGAGACUGGAAUACUUGGUGUAGCAGUGAAAUGCGUAGAUAUCAAGUGGAACACCAGUGGCGAAGGCGAGUCUCUGGACAUUUCCUGACGCUGAGGCACGAAAGCCAGGGGAGCAAACGGG
Molecule: ribosomal RNA, 253 nt
Filed under: uncultured bacterium
Lineage: Bacteria
Description: partial 16S ribosomal RNA
Rfam family: Bacterial small subunit ribosomal RNA
Source: RNAcentral